This is a long non-coding RNA of Nothoprocta perdicaria, 239 nucleotides long. RefSeq lists it as uncharacterized. The record is from RefSeq and is a predicted model, not a curated record. NCBI's taxonomy places the organism in Eukaryota, Metazoa, Chordata, Aves, Tinamiformes, Tinamidae. The transcript is spliced from 2 exons.
UUAGUGUCGGCUUUAAAACUGGCCUGAGAGCAGCUUUAAACCUCCAGCAACGUUUAACCUCCAGCAACGUUUCUCCAUUCCAGGUGCCGACUGCCGAGGGAUGCGGACUGGAGAUUAACGGUCCGAACCCGGAGUUUGGAGCAGCCGAUGUGGCCUGAUCCAGGUUUCUUCAUAACUCAGACUUCGCUUCUAGUAAAUGCGGUAAGGGCUGAGGCGGCAGUCGCGGCUCCGAGACCAGG